AAAAACACAAACACUGGAUUUCCGUGCCAAUAUUUGACUGUCUGUCUUAUAUGAAAUUUUCUUGUAAUUAGUAUUUUCAUUGUUGUUAGAUGAUAAAACAAGAUUAAUACUUUAUGCGUGAGUUAUCUUUUUAAUUUUUUUCAAAUAAGACGGACGGUCAAACGUUAGACACGGAAACCAGGGUUUGUCUUUUU
RNAcentral lists this microRNA precursor (194 nucleotides) under Oryza nivara. RNAcentral's name for it is "MIR812 microRNA precursor family". It matches the Rfam family "MIR812 microRNA precursor family". Lineage: Eukaryota; Viridiplantae; Streptophyta; Magnoliopsida; Poales; Poaceae. The record is from Rfam by way of RNAcentral.